This 513-nucleotide ribosomal RNA is filed under the name Mycobacterium asiaticum. RNAcentral's name for it is "bacterial SSU rRNA". It matches the Rfam family "Bacterial small subunit ribosomal RNA", at positions 1 to 522 of the family's 1533-position model. Lineage: Bacteria; Bacillati; Actinomycetota; Actinomycetes; Mycobacteriales; Mycobacteriaceae. The record is from RNAcentral.
UGGAGAGUUUGAUCCUGGCUCAGGACGAACGCUGGCGGCGUGCUUAACACAUGCAAGUCGAACGGAAAGGCCCCUUCGGGGGUACUCGAGUGGCGAACGGGUGAGUAACACGUGGGUGAUCUGCCCUGCACUUCGGGAUAAGCCUGGGAAACUGGGUCUAAUACCGGAUAGGACCACGGGAUGCAUGUCCUGUGGUGGAAAGCUUUUGCGGUGUGGGAUGGGCCCGCGGCCUAUCAGCUUGUUGGUGGGGUGACGGCCUACCAAGGCGACGACGGGUAGCCGGCCUGAGAGGGUGUCCGGCCACACUGGGACUGAGAUACGGCCCAGACUCCUACGGGAGGCAGCAGUGGGGAAUAUUGCACAAUGGGCGCAAGCCUGAUGCAGCGACGCCGCGUGGGGGAUGACGGCCUUCGGGUUGUAAACCUCUUUCACCAUCGACGAAGGUCCGGGUUUCUCGGAUUGACGGUAGGUGGAGAAGAAGCACCGGCCAACUACGUGCCAGCAGCCGCGGUA